RNAcentral lists this ribosomal RNA (307 nucleotides) under uncultured bacterium. RNAcentral describes it as "partial 16S ribosomal RNA". It matches the Rfam family "Bacterial small subunit ribosomal RNA", at positions 506 to 807 of the family's 1533-position model. The record is from RNAcentral.
AGACAGCAGCAGCCGCGGUAAUACAGAGGGUGCGAGCGUUAAUCGGAUUUACUGGGCGUAAAGCGUGCGUAGGCGGCUUCUUAAGUCGGAUGUGAAAUCCCUGAGCUUAACUUAGGAAUUGCAUUCGAUACUGGGAAGCUAGAGUAUGGGAGAGGAUGGUAGAAUUCCAGGUGUAGCGGUGAAAUGCGUAGAGAUCUGGAGGAAUACCGAUGGCGAAGGCAGCCAUCUGGCCUAAUACUGACGCUGAGGUACGAAAGCAUGGGGAGCAAACAGGAUUAGAUACCCCUGUAGUCCCUGUCUCUUAUAC